UUCGGUGGUUAUAGCAUAGGGGAAACGCCCGGUUACAUUCCGAACCCGGAAGCUAAGGCCUAUAGCGCUGAUGGUACUGCACUCGGGAGGGUGUGGGAGAGUAAGUCACCGCCGAAA
This 117-nucleotide ribosomal RNA is filed under the name Leucobacter sp. RNAcentral also lists the same sequence under 1 other name. Lineage: Bacteria; Bacillati; Actinomycetota; Actinomycetes; Micrococcales; Microbacteriaceae. The record is from RNAcentral.